Molecule: long non-coding RNA, 692 nt
Filed under: Panax ginseng (ginseng)
Lineage: Eukaryota; Viridiplantae; Streptophyta; Magnoliopsida; Apiales; Araliaceae
Description: long non-coding RNA (PGIN_LNC010641)
Rfam family: MIR6135 microRNA precursor family (bases 171-291)
Source: RNAcentral
UAUGAGAUGAGCUGUGAGUGGGCAGAAGUAGAACACGAGGUCUCUCUCUCUCUCUCCCCCAAGUUCCAUCCACGUAAAGCAAUGGACGGACAAUCAAUCAGUUGAGUCCAAAUGUUAGAUCCUACGUGACCAAAGGGGGUGAAUGUGAAGCUAGCUUUAGUUUAUUCCGGAUGAAGUUUUUUUUGGGUAAGUUGAUCAAUUGGUCAGUAAAAUAUUAACACACAUAAAGUCUCGCCUACAUGUUAAUACUCUAUUGGUCAAUUGACCAACUUACCCAAAAAUAAACUUGAUGUUAAUCACUUCCGUUUAUUCUCUAUACCAUUCCAUAUAAAGAAGUGUCAAGAAUAGGGUUAAUAAUAAUGAAAAUAUGAAGCCCCUUCACUUUUAAAAAAUUGUUAUUUUUACAUAAAAUAUAUCGUUAUAAGAUCAAUAAGGAUGAUUUUUAUGUAAAAAUUUUAUUUUUUAAUACAAAUUUAUUUCUACUUAUAUCUCUCUCUUCUUUCUUUUUUUCCCGUUAAAUACUUUUAUCCUUCUCUUUACUUCUGCAAAUAAAGCAUAUCAGCAGCAGGGGAUAGAGCAUCCCGAGAGAGAAAAGAAAAACACACAACUAGCUAGUGGGUAAAAAGAGCGCACCGCACACGUGAGUAAAAGUAGAUAAAUCUAACAAUCUUGCCACCUCCGUCUCUCUCUCU